Molecule: ribosomal RNA, 425 nt
Filed under: uncultured bacterium
Lineage: Bacteria
Description: bacterial SSU rRNA
Rfam family: Bacterial small subunit ribosomal RNA
Source: RNAcentral
UGGGGAAUUUUGGACAAUGGGCGCAAGCCUGAUCCAGCAAUGCCGCGUGAGUGAAGAAGGCCUUCGGGUUGUAAAGCUCUUUUGUCAGGGAAGAAACGGUUGGGGCUAAUAUCCCCGGCUAAUGACGGUACCUGAAGAAUAAGCACCGGCUAACUACGUGCCAGCAGCCGCGGUAAUACGUAGGUGGCAAGCGUUGUCCGGAUUUACUGGGCGUAAAGAGCGCGCAGGCGGCUGGUCAAGUCCGAUGUGAAAUCUCCCGGCUCAACUGGGAAACUGCAUCGGAAACUGAUCGGCUUGAAGGUGGGAGAGGGUAGUGGAAUUCCCGGUGUAGUGGUGAAAUGCGUAGAUAUCGGGAGGAACACCAGUGGCGAAGGCGACUACCUGGCCCAUUCUUGACGCUGAGGCGCGAAAGCUAGGGGAGCGAA